UAAGGAAUAUUGGUCAAUGGAGGGAACUCUGAACCAGCCAUGCCGCGUGAAGGAUGACGGCCCUCUGGGUUGUAAACUUCUUUUGGAUGGGGCGAAAAAACGGGAUUUAUCCUGGACUGACGGUACCAUCAGAAUAAGCACCGGCUAACUCCGUGCCAGCAGCCGCGGUAAUACGGAGGGUGCAAGCGUUAUCCGGAAUCACUGGGUUUAAAGGGUGCGUAGGCGGUUGUAUAAGUCAGGGGUGAAAGGAUGCAGCUUAACUGUAUAAUUGCCUUUGAUACUGUAUGACUUGAAUAAGGUUGAGGUUGGCGGAAUGUGACAUGUAGCGGUGAAAUGCUUAGAUAUGUCAUGGAACACCGAUUGCGAAGGCAGCUGACUGGGCCUUUAUUGACGCUGAGGCACGAAAGCGUGGGUAGCGAACA
Molecule: ribosomal RNA, 422 nt
Filed under: uncultured bacterium
Lineage: Bacteria
Description: bacterial SSU rRNA
Rfam family: Bacterial small subunit ribosomal RNA
Source: RNAcentral